UAUGUUUAACCAAAAAUAUAUAAAUUCUUACAGAAAUCUUCAAGAGAGAACAAUGUCGUUAUUGUUUCAAACUUAAAACAUAUAUCAAACGAAUUAAUGAGUUCAUGUCGUCUUGCAGUGGCGUUAUCAAAAUGGGGAAAGCAUUUAAACGGAUACUUUAAACAAUAUCUCUCACCACCAACUCUUUCAUUGCUGGUAUAGUUAGAAGAUGCUUGAAUGUGUAGUAGUAUUAGUAUCGACGUAUCGUAUUGUAGUUUCCAACUCUACCUUCAUGGUUUAUGGCGAACCGUUCCAUAAAAUUUCAUUACGUAUAACCUCUUUUUUUAAGUCAACAUAUUUUCGUGGUCAUCACAAGCUUAGGGCAUCAAGAAAAAAUUGAAAAUGUUGGACCGGCACCGACGAUCCUAGCUUAACAAAUACAGAGAAUGGAUUUUUGUUCACUAAUCCAAUUUAUUUGAUAAUUGACCGAAGAUGCUGAAAUAUCAAAGGUAAAAUUUGAACUUAGGAACUUAAAGAUAUAGAGGUCAAUUUAUUUUAUUUUAUUGAUAAAAUACAACGUCAAUCAUUUUUUCUUAAAAUGAUUGGGAAAAGAAAAGAAGAAUGAACAUUAUUUCUUAUUAGAUAAUUUAAACUUUCUUUUUAUGCAGUAGAAAUUCAUCAACCUUCCGUCUCGUCCUCCAAGUAAAAUGUAAUCAGUGAUCUCCCAACUUUUAUCUUUCA
Molecule: long non-coding RNA, 720 nt
Filed under: Brassica napus (rape)
Lineage: Eukaryota; Viridiplantae; Streptophyta; Magnoliopsida; Brassicales; Brassicaceae
Description: long non-coding RNA (BNAP_LNC017915)
Source: RNAcentral